This 483-nucleotide long non-coding RNA is filed under the name Homo sapiens (human). RNAcentral describes it as "non-protein coding lnc-PNO1-2:1". Lineage: Eukaryota; Metazoa; Chordata; Mammalia; Primates; Hominidae. The record is from RNAcentral.
GGUCAACUCCACCGUGUUCUUAGAAAUUGCCAUCGACAGUGAGCCCUUGGGCCGCAUCUCCAUCAAGCUGUUUGCAGACAAGAUUCCAAAGACAGCAGAAAACUUCUGUGCUCUGAGCACUGGAGAGAAAGGAUUUGGGUAUAAGGGUUCCUGCUUUCACACAAUUAUUCCAGGGUUUAUGUGUCAGGGUGGUGACUUCACACGCCAUAAUGGCACUGGUCCAUCUAUGGGGAGAAAUUUGAUGACGAGAACUUCAUCCUGAAGCAUAAAGGUCCUGGCAUCUUGUCCAUAGCAAACGCUGGACCCAACACAGAUGGUUCCCAGUUUUUCAUCUGCACUGCCAAGACUGAGUGGUUGGAUGGCAACCAUGUAGUCUAUGGCAAGGUGAAAGAAGGCAUGAAUAUUGUGGAGGCCAUGGAGCACUUUGGGUCCAGGAAUGGCAAGACCAGCAAGAUCACCAUCGCUGACUGUGGACAACUCUAA